Molecule: ribosomal RNA, 907 nt
Filed under: Pholiota adiposa
Lineage: Eukaryota; Fungi; Basidiomycota; Agaricomycetes; Agaricales; Strophariaceae
Description: LSU rRNA
Rfam family: Eukaryotic large subunit ribosomal RNA
Source: RNAcentral
GCAUAUCAAUAAGCGGAGGGAAAAAAGAAAACUAACAAGGAUUCCCCUAGUAACUGCGAAGUGAAGCGGGAAAAGCUCAAAUUUAAAAUCUGGUGGUCUCUGGCCAUCCGAGUUGUAAUCUAGAGAAGUGUUAUCCGCGCUGGACCGUGUACAAGUCUUCUGGAAUGGAGCGUCAUAGAGGGUGAGAAUCCCGUCUUUGAUACGGACUGCCAGGGCUUUGUGAUGCGCUCUCAAAGAGUCGAGUUGUUUGGGAAUGCAGCUCAAAAUGGGUGGUAAAUUCCAUCUAAAGCUAAAUAUUGGCGAGAGACCGAUAGCGAACAAGUACCGUGAGGGAAAGAUGAAAAGAACUUUGGAAAGAGAGUUAAACAGUACGUGAAAUUGCUGAAAGGGAAACGCUUGAAGUCAGUCGCGUUGUCUGGGGAUCAACCUUACUUUUGUUGGGCGUACUUUCCAGAUGACGGGUCAGCAUCAAUUUUGACCGUUGGAUAAAGUCUAGAGGAAUGUGGCAUCUUCGGAUGUGUUAUAGCCUUUGGUCGCAUACAACGGUUGGGAUUGAGGAACUCAGCACGCCGAAAGGCCGGGUACUUGUACCACGUUCGUGCUUAGGAUGCUGGCAUAAUGGCUUUAAUCGACCCGUCUUGAAACACGGACCAAGGAGUCUAACAUGCCUGCGAGUAUUUGGGUGGAAAACCCGAGUGCGUAAUGAAAGUGAAAGUUGAGAUCCUCGUCAUGGGGAGCAUCGACGCCCGGACCAGACCUUUUUGUGACGGAUCUGCGGUAGAGCAUGUAUGUUGGGACCCGAAAGAUGGUGAACUAUGCCUGAAUAGGGUGAAGCCAGAGGAAACUCUGGUGGAGGCUCGUAGCGAUUUCUGACGUGCAAAUCGAUUCGUCAAAUUUGGGUAUAGGG